CGCGGCCUAUCAGCUUGUUGGUGGGGUAAAGGCCNAGCAAGGCGACGACGGGUAGCCGGCCUGAGAGGGCGACCGGCCACACUGGGACUGAGACACGGCCCAGACUCCUACGGGAGGCAGCAGUGGGGAAUAUUGCACAAUGGGGGAAACCCUGAUGCAGCGACGCCGCGUGAGGGAUGACGGCCUUCGGGUUGUAAACCUCUUUCAGUAGGGAAGAAGCCUUUCGAGGUGACGGUACCUGCAGAAGAAGUACCGGCUAACUACGUGCCAGCAGCCGCGGUAAUACGUAGGGUACAAGCGUUGUCCGGAAUUAUUGGGCGUAAAGAGCUCGUAGGCGGUCCGUCGCGUCUGCUGUGGAAACGCAAGGCUCAACCUUGCGCGUGCAGUGGGUACGGGCGGACUAGAGUGCAGUAGGGGAGUCUGGAAUUCCUGGUGUAGCGGUGAAAUGCGCAGAUAUCAGGAGGAACACCGGUGGCGAAGGCGGGACUCUGGGCUGUUGCUGACGCUGAGGAGCGAAAGCAUGGGGAGCGAACAGGAUUAGAUACCCUGGUAGUCCAUGCCGUAAACGUUGGGCACUAGGUGUGGGGCUCAUUCCACGAGUUCCGCGCCGCAGCUAACGCAUUAAGUGCCCCGCCUGGGGAGUACGGCCGCAAGGCUAAAACUCAAAGGAAUUGACGGGGGCCCGCACAAGCGGCGGAGCAUGCGGAUUAAUUCGAUGCAACGCGAAGAACCUUACCAAGGCUUGACAUACACCGGAAUGUGCCAGAGAUGGUUCAGCCCUUUGGGCUGGUGUACAGGUGGUGCAUGGUUGUCGUCAGCUCGUGUCGUGAGAUGUUGGGUUAAGUCCCGCAACGAGCGCAACCCUCGUUCUAUGUUGCCAGCACGUGAUGGUGGGAACUCAUAGGAGACUGCCGGGGUCAACUCGGAGGAAGGUGGGGAUGACGUCAAAUCAUCAUGCCCUUUAUGUCUUGGGCUUCACGCAUGCUACAAUGGUCGGUACAAAGGGUUGCGAGACCGUGAGGUGGAGCGAAUCCCAGAAAGCCGAUCUCAGUUCGGAUCGUAGUCUGCAACUCGACUACGGAAGUCGGAGUCGCUAGA
Molecule: ribosomal RNA, 1098 nt
Filed under: uncultured bacterium
Lineage: Bacteria
Description: bacterial SSU rRNA
Rfam family: Bacterial small subunit ribosomal RNA
Source: RNAcentral